AAAGAAACCAACAGGGAUUGCCCUAGUAACGGCGAGUGAAGCGGCAACAGCUCAAAUUUGAAAUCUGGCUCUCGGGCCCGAGUUGUAAUUUGUAGAGGAUGCUUUUGAUGCGGUGCCUUCCGAGUUCCCUGGAACGGGACGCCAUAGAGGGUGAGAGCCCCGUCUGGUUGGAUGCCAAAUCUCUGUAAAGCUCCUUCGACGAGUCGAGUAGUUUGGGAAUGCUGCUCUAAAUGGGAGGUAUAUGUCUUCUAAAGCUAAAUACCGGCCAGAGACCGAUAGCGCACAAGUAGAGUGAUCGAAAGAUGAAAAGCACUUUGAAAAGAGAGUUAAAAAGUACGUGAAAUUGUUGAAAGGGAAGCGUUUAUGACCAGACUUGGGCUUGGUUAAUCAUCUGGGGUUCUCCCCAGUGCACUUUUCCAGUCCAGGCCAGCAUCAGUUUUCGCCGGGGGAUAAAGGCUUCGGGAAUGUGGCUCUCUCCGGGGAGUGUUAUAGCCCGUUGCGUAAUACCCUGGCGGGGACUGAGGUUCGCGCAUCUGCAAGGAUGCUGGCGUAAUGGUCAUCAACGACCCGUCUUGAAACACGGACCAAGGAGUCGUCUUCGUAUGCGAGUGUUCGGGUGUCAAACCCCUACGCGUAAUGAAAGUGAACGCAGGUGAGAGCUUCGGCGCAUCAUCGACCGAUCCUGAUGUUCUCGGAUGGAUUUGAGUAAGAGCAUACGGGGCCGGACCCGAAAGAAGGUGAACUAUGCCUGUGUAGGGUGAAGCCAGAGGAAACUCUGGUGGAGGCUCGCAGCGGUUCUGACGUGCAAAUCGAUCG
Molecule: ribosomal RNA, 816 nt
Filed under: Fusarium flagelliforme
Lineage: Eukaryota; Fungi; Ascomycota; Sordariomycetes; Hypocreales; Nectriaceae
Description: partial large subunit ribosomal RNA
Rfam family: Eukaryotic large subunit ribosomal RNA
Source: RNAcentral